This 444-nucleotide ribosomal RNA is filed under the name uncultured bacterium. RNAcentral describes it as "bacterial SSU rRNA". It matches the Rfam family "Bacterial small subunit ribosomal RNA", at positions 354 to 796 of the family's 1533-position model. The record is from RNAcentral.
GUAGGGAAUAUUGGACAAUGGGUGGAAGCCUGAUCCAGCCAUGCCGCGUGCAGGAAGACGGCCUUCUGGGUUGUAAACUGCUUUUGCCUGUGGAUAAAAAGACUCUGCGGAGUAAAUUGAAGGUAGCAGGUGAAUAAGCCACGGCUAACUACGUGCCAGCAGCCGCGGUAAUACGUAGGUGGCAAGCGUUGUCCGGAUUUAUUGGGUUUAAAGGGUGCGUAGGCGGUCUGUUAAGUCAGUGGUGAAAUACGGCAGCUCAACUGUCGAGGUGCCAUUGAUACUGGCGGACUUGAGUACUGAUGAGGUAGGCGGAAUGGACGGUGUAGCGGUGAAAUGCUUAGAUAUCGUCCAGAACACCGAUAGCGAAGGCAGCUUACUAAGGAGUAACUGACGCUGAGGCACGAAAGUGUGGGGAUCAAACAGGAUUAGAAACCCCAGUAGUCC